This 301-nucleotide ribosomal RNA is filed under the name uncultured bacterium. Its description in RNAcentral is "partial 16S ribosomal RNA". It matches the Rfam family "Bacterial small subunit ribosomal RNA", at positions 509 to 807 of the family's 1533-position model. The record is from RNAcentral.
CAGCAGCCGCGGGAACACGGAGGGUGCAAGCGUUAUCCGGAUUUAUUGGGUUUAAAGGGUCCGUAGGCGGACUUAUAAGUCAGUGGUGAAAGCCUGUCGCUUAACGAUAGAACUGCCAUUGAUACUGUAAGUCUUGAGUAUAUUUGAGGUAGCUGGAAUAAGUAGUGUAGCGGUGAAAUGCAUAGAUAUUACUUAGAACACCAAUUGCGAAGGCAGGUUACCAAGAUAUAACUGACGCUGAGGGACGAAAGCGUGGGUAGCGAACAGGAUUAGAUACCCCCGUAGUCCCUGUCUCUUAUAC